Molecule: ribosomal RNA, 252 nt
Filed under: uncultured bacterium
Lineage: Bacteria
Description: partial 16S ribosomal RNA
Rfam family: Bacterial small subunit ribosomal RNA
Source: RNAcentral
UACGGAGGAUGCGAGCGUUAUCCGGAUUUAUUGGGUUUAAAGGGUGCGUAAGCGGAUCGUUAAGUCAGUGGUCAAAUUGAGGGGCUCAACCCCUUCCCGCCAUUGAAACUGGCGAUCUUGAGUGGAAGAGAAGUAUGCGGAAUGCGUGGUGUAGCGGUGAAAUGCAUAGAUAUCACGCAGAACCCCGAUUGCGAAGGCAGCAUGCCGGCUUCCUACUGACGCUGAAGCACGAAAGCGUGGGGAUCGAACAGG